Molecule: long non-coding RNA, 9998 nt
Filed under: Triticum aestivum (bread wheat)
Lineage: Eukaryota; Viridiplantae; Streptophyta; Magnoliopsida; Poales; Poaceae
Description: long non-coding RNA (TAES_LNC009539)
Source: RNAcentral
ACCAUGUAUCCAGUUCAUCACUUCAGAAAUGUGCAUAGUCAUGAGAGCUAGUUCCCGUUUUCAUGCAAAGGAGGAACAUUGGAGGCCACUUGCCUACACCAGUUCUCCCAUACAAGUGUAGAUAUGAAAUACAUUUAGCAGAAACUUGCAUGUUUCAUUCACCAGGACCAUGUCUGCCCUCAACUCCCUGACACCACAUUUAGCAGUCACCCUAUUGAUUGUGAUGUCUUCCUGGACUCGCUCGCUUGCUCAAGUCACACGGAUCAAGUCUUUUCUCCAAAAGGAUAGUAACCUGUGUAAGACAUGUGUUAGACAAAAUGUUUUGCAUGCUUUUACUCACCAAAAUAGUGAUAAUUUAAACACCUAUGACAUCGCUUUUUCUCACUUGACACAUUUGCCAUUAGUUCUCACCGUGCUCUGCUUUUGCCAUUGCACACCUUCACGGCCAGACCCGGCUAAGUGCUUUUCUCUUCCAAAAGUACCCUCUCAGUCACUGGCUGGUGGGGCUUGAGUGCUUGACCCAUGAAGUCACCACAUUUUAGCCCCAUGAGUCCCCCAACUCUCAAUUCCACUCUCCAACUCUGCACCAAAUCCUUCCAGAUGAUUUGAAUCCAUCAACUCCUCCAAAUAUUUCCUCCAAACCAACACCAAGUCAGCACCCCUUCACUCCUCCGCGCCGCAGUUGGGAGAUGGAUUGGUUGGUAGUCAGCUGAUGGAAUGCGGCGGCAACAAUCCAGUAUCGAUUCCAGAAGGACAUACGAUGAUGCUAGACGAUUUGUUUUUUCUUCUUUUCCUAUUUCAUGCCAUGGAUGAUGCUUUGUGGGUUGCCACAUCAUGAUUGUAAAGUACUUACAUUGUGAUUCCAAUGUAAAGCUUCACACUUCAAAAUUAAUAGAUGUUGGUAGACGAUGGUCUCCUUAUCGUUUNNNNNNNNNNNNNNNNNNNNNNNNNNNNNNNNNNNNNNNNNNNNNNNNNNNNNNNNNNNNNNNNNNNNNNNNNNNNNNNNNNNNNNNNNNNNNNNNNNNNNNNNNNNNNNNNNNNNNNNNNNNNNNNNNNNNNNNNNNNNNNNNNNNNNNNNNNNNNNNNNNNNNNNNNNNNNNNNNNNNNNNNNNNNNNNNNNNNNNNNNNNNNNNNNNNNNNNNNNNNNNNNNNNNNNNNNNNNNNNNNNNNNNNNNNNNNNNNNNNNNNNNNNNNNNNNNNNNNNNNNNNNNNCCCCCCCUCCCCACACCCGCACACACACACAAACCUCUACUAUCAUGUGCGACUACUGUGGAGAAGCACACAGAGAGAAGUCAUGAUCUAGAUUAUGUGUGUGAGGGAAGUGGUUACAAAUUUAUUUAUUUUAUUUGUUUGAACAGUCACCGGGAUAGCUGCAAACAGAAAUGGAGUAGGCAUCUUGAUUAACAAGAGCCUUAAGUAUGGAGUGGUAGACGUCAACAGGGGUGGCGACCGGAUUAUUCUGGUCAAGCUGGUAGAUGGGAACUUAGUUCUCAAUGUUAUCAGCACAUAUGCUACAAUAAGAACACCAAGAGGGAGUUCUGGGAAGGCCCGGAGGACAUGGUUAGGAAUGUACCUAUUGGCGAGAAGCUCUUCAUAGGAGACCUCAAUGGCCAUGUGGGUACAUUUAACACAGGUUUUAAAGGGGUGCAUGGGGGCUUUGUCUAUGGUACCAAGAAUCAAGAAGGAGAAGAUGUCUUAAGCUUUGCUCUAGCCUACGACAUGAUCGUAAGUAACACCCUCUUUAAAAAGAGAGAAUCACAUCUAGUGACUUUUAGUAGUGGUCAACACUAAGAGAAGACAGGCGUGUUUGACUGGAUUGUAAGAUGAUGAUACCUAGAGUGUUGUCCCGUAGCAUAAGCUUGUGGUGGCUGACUUCCGCUUUCGGAUCUGUGUCCAGCAGGAUAAGCGCGUCAAAGUACCUACAACAAAGUGGUGGAAGCUAGGGGGGGGGACUCAGGCUUUCAAGGAGAGGGUCAUUAAGGAGGGCCCUUGGGAGGAAGGAGGAGAUACAGACAAUAUGUUGAUGAAGAUGGCGACUUGCAUUCGUAAGGUGGCUUCAGAGGAGUUAGAAGUGUCCAUGGGAAGUAGAAGCGAAGCUAAACAUACCUAGUGGUGGAACUAUGAUGUCCAGAAGGCUAUUAAGGAGAAGAAAGAUUGUUUCAAACGCCUACACCUGGAUAGGAGUGCAGACAACAUAGAGAAGUAUAAGGUGGCAAAGAAUGCCGCAAAGCAAGCUAUGAGUGAAGCAAGGGGUCGGGCAUAUGAGGACCUCUACCAGCACUUAGACACGAAGGAAGGCGAAAGGGACAUCUAUAAGAUGGCCAAGAUUCGAGAGAGAAAGACGAGGGAUGUCGUCCAAGUCAAAUGCAUCAAGGGUGGAGCAGAUCAGCUCCUGGUGAAGGACGAGGAGAUUAAGCUUAAAUGGCGGGAGUACUUCGACAAGCUAUUCAAUGGAGAGAAUGAGAGCUCUACCAUUGAACUAGACGACUCCUUUGAUGAUACUAGCAGGCGUUUUGUGCGGCGAAUCCAAGAGUCUGAGGUCAAGGAGGCUUUAAAAGGGAUGAAAGGAUGCAAGGCGAUGGGCCCUGAUUGUAUCCCCAUUGAGGUGUGGAGAGGCCUCAGAGACAUAGCGAUAGUAUGGCUAACUAAGCUUUUCAACCUCAUUUUUCGGGCAAACAAGAUGCCAAAAGAAUGGAGGCAGAGUAUAUUAGUACCAAUCUUCAAAACAAGGGGAGUGUUCAAAGUUGUACUAAUUACCGUGGAAUUAAGCUAAUGAGCCAUACAAUGAAGUUAUGGAAGAGUCAUUGAGCACCACUUCAGAAGAACGAAAAGCGUGACCAAAAAUCAAUUUUAUUUCAUGCCUGGGAGAAAGACCAUGGAAGCCAUCUUCUUGGUACGACAACUUAUGGAGAGAUAUAGGGAGCAAAAGGACCUACAUAUGGUGUUCAUUGACUUGGAGAAGACCUACAAUAAGAUACCACGGAAUGACAUGUGGUGGGCCAGAAACACAAAGUCCCAACAAAGUACAUUACCCUCAUCAAGGACAUGUACGAUAAUGUUGUGGCAAGUGUUUGGACAAGAUGACUUCCCAAUUAAAAUAGGACUGCACCAAGGGUCAGCCUUGAGCCGUUAUCUUCUUGCUUUGGUGAUGGAUGAGCUCACAAGGGAUAUACAAGGAGAUACCUCAUGAUGUAUGCUCUUUGCAGACGAUGUGGUGCUAGUCGAUGAUAGUUAGAUGGGGGUCAUUAGAAAGUUAGAUCUAUGAAGACAAACCUUGGACUCAAAAGGUUCUAGGCUUAGUAGAAGUAAAACCGAAUACAUGAGGUGCGGUUUCAGUAUUAUUAGGCACGAGGAGGAGGUUAGCCUUGAUAGGCAAGUGGUACCUCAAAAGGACACCUUUCGAUAUUUGGAGUCAAUGCUGCAAAACGAUGGUGAUACCAAUGAAGAUGUGAGUUAUGAAUCAAAGCCGAAUUGAUGAAGUGGCGCCAAACUUCUGCCGUUCUCUGACAAGAGAGUACCACAAAAGCUAUACGGCAGGUUCUAUAGGACAGCGAUUCGACCCGCAAUGUUGUAUUGUGCUGAGUGUUGCCGACUAAAAGGCGACAUGUUCAACUGUAGCGAAGAUGUGCAUGUUGAGAUGGAUGUGUAGCCACACAAGGAUCGGGUCCAGAAUGAUGAUAUACAGGAUAGAGUUGGGGUAGCACCGAUUGAAGAGAAGCAUGUCCAACAUUGUCUGAGAUGGUUUGGGCAUAUUCAGCCAUGCCUUCAGAAGGCCUUCAGAAGCUCCAGUGCAUAGAGGACAGCUAAAGCGUGAUAAUGUCAAGAGAGGUCGGGGUAGACCAAACUUGACAUGGGAGGAGUCCGUGAAGGUCUGACUGACUGGAAUAUCACCAAAGAACUAGCCAUGGACAGGGGUGCAUGGAAACUAACUAUCCAUAUGCCAGAACUAUGAGUUUGUUGCGAGAUCUAAUGGGUUUCAGCUCUACCUUACCCCAACUUGUUUGGAACUAAUGGCUUUGUUGUUGUUUUUAGAACAGUCAUCGUGGGAGAGCUCCCUACCUGAAUUUGAUCUCAUUCAAAGAAAAAAUCAAUCCGGUUUAUAAGGGCAACCAAUCAAAAACCUAAACAAGUUAACCCUGUUUAUGAGGGAAACCGGACCAAAACCGUACAAGACCAAAAUUGAGGCUAUCGUACCCCCUCGUCUCGCUCCCGUACCCCCUCGUCUCAUUCCCUCCAGGGCGAGCGGGGGGGGGGGGAGCCCCCCAACCGCCGCACCCUCCCUACCUCUCCUCCGCCUCGUCGUCCCCAGAGACGCGCGUCGGCUAGGCCCAGGCGCCGCCAGUGAUGGUGACAGUGGGGAUCUGGGCUACAACCCCGCGGUCUGGAGGGAUUGCAACGCGAGAUCGCCCUUCCGUCUUCGUCUUUCCCGGCGGUUCGGCGCUGCUCCAACGGCUUCGUAGGAAGAGCGGAUCCGGAGGGGAUCUUCCCAAUUGGCAGUGCUAAAUCCCCGGAGCAACGAUUCUGGUCAUGGCGGCGUUGUCCCCUCUGUCGGGAUGACGAGCCAGGUGGUGGGUCCUUGUGGCAGCGUCGGUGGCGGCGGAUCUUGGGAUCCCGCUCCCGAGGACGUUGCGGGACGCGCGGGACGGCCGGAGCUUCCUCCGUCAUCGACAGCGCUGGAUGCGGGAUCGCGGCGGCUAUUGCCGUUGUAUGGGCGACGACAACGGCUGACGCGACGGUGGGUGCUCCCUGUAGUGCUUGGAAUCGGGGCGGAGGCCCCUCUUCAUCGACGGCGACAGACUCCGGGGUUGUGUGGGCGAUUCAAAGUCUGGAUCUAGAGGUGGCGACGGCCUUUUCAAGGCUGUGGCGGUAUGGGACGUCCCCUCCAUCAACAGAUCGGGUUCGAUGCGGCUCGGCAGGUGACACAUGCGCCUCUUUCGGAGUUGUCGGGCAGUGCAUGUCGCCGGCGCGUGAAGCCACCGGUGGAUGCGCUACCGGCGGAUGCUACGCACGACGUCUUAUUCAGAGACGUCAAAUCAUGCCUACUACCGACAGGUGAUGCACAGUGGCUUUGGCGGAGGUGUCAUGUUUAGCCUGUUGCUGUUAGAUCGAAGGUGGUGCGACAGUAGCGGGAGGCAGGCGGUAUGGGACGUCUUUGUCUUUCGUUGUCUUCUCCAAAGGUAUCCGGAUAUCGAGGCGUCGGUAGACGGAUAAGGGCGGAUGGUACAGACGGCUUCAACGAUGAGUUUAUGCACUCCGAUGGAAGCACACAAUCUCUGAUCGGGCUAUGUCGAUGCGUGCCUGCGUUGUGUCCUUGUUGAAGGUGGUGGAUUGAAGCUUGGCUUUGGGGAUGAGAAUCCGGAGUUCAUCCUUGUGGUCGACUCGCCAUCUUCGGCGUACGUGCUACAAUUCCUUCUUGAAGGCGUAGCCUAGAAGUUGUGUAUUUUUGUUUCUGAUGUGUCUUGUAACAUAGGGUUUGUGCUUAUCUAGGGGAGUUACUGUUGCGAGGUAUACGGCCUUAGGAUUUGUUUUCCGCUUUUUUCUGGGUCAAGGUUGUUCGGGUGCUGGAUUUUGCACUAUUAAUAAUAUAUGGCUGCAUACAUCUUUCUGAUGCAGAGGCCGGGGGUUAUCCUCCUUUUCAAAAAAAACAAGGGGAAAGGAAGAAGAGAAAAAUGCACACCUAGGAGAAGGCACGACCUAGCUAGCAGACAGAAGGACCAUCACGAGGGACACGAGUAUAUGUGGGGAGCCGUCGAGGGAUCACAAUACCAAAACUUUGCAAACAGCCUAACGCACAGCACCGGCGUGCGUACCGAACCCCAGGGCGCAAUAGAGGAGCCUCCACGAUCAACGAAUGCCAUAGUUGAACAAGAACCUUGACUGCAAGCUCCGCCACAUGAAGCCGGAACGAUUAGCAAGUUCGGGAGGCAUCAUUGUGCCAUCAUUGAGCAAAGAUGAAUGGAGACCACCAUGGGAGGGUCUUGAACAUGCACAACAAGAUGACGCACCACAUGAACACCACCAAAGACAGACAAACGAGGCAGAGAUGGCAGCUCCACAGCACCAAGCGUGAUGUUGCCAGACCCCAAGACACACCACUGUCAACCCCAAGUCGGUCGCACCACCACCACCGACAUCCUCGUAGCAAGCAGCUACCCAACACAACAAUCGAGCCGACUUCUAGACGAUGCCUUCAAGACAGGCUAUGACGCAGAUUGCGCCACCAUCGGUUGUUCAGGGCAAACCUGGAACCAAGGUUUCCCCCUAAGUCGCAAAGAGGAUGGCAAAAACAACAUACAAUGACGCCUUCAAGAAGGUUCGCGGUGCCCAUGGGCGUCGUCGUCAUUUGCUCCGGUCUGAGCUUUCACCGAGUUGAGCACACACAUCCAGAGCAUCGAUUGAACUAGGUAGAUUGCUCACUUGCACCAUGACAAGCAUUGGGUCACCACAGCCUCGUCGCCACAUAUUCCCGAGUCAAACAACCGCCGGCUAGAUCCAGCCGACCAAUGCCAUGGUAGCCAGAUCUGGCAAAAGUCCAGGCCCGAGCCACCAUUGAUGCCAGAUCUAGGCGGCGGUUGGCCUAGAAGCCCUUCACCUCCGGUUGGCGAGCACAGGCCAACAACAGCCAAGCACCACAACCACCAAGUCACUAGGCAACCACCACCAACCUCCCAUCGCUCCUAAGCACUAUCCAUUGUGCGCUAGACGAUCGAAGACGUGCAGAUCUGUCCCAUCCCAGCCGCUGCCAUCCAUGCAUCCAUCCGGGCCGCUGGCAUCCUCACCGCACUUGCAUGAGGCGGGGAUAUGCAAACCACACGCGCUAACCACCAUGCACUGAAAUGCCACGAUGGGGCUCACAACAGCACCCCGCACGAUGAGCACCUGAAGGUCGUUGCACGGGCACAACUCCAUCAUGCCAACAUCGUUGUCCUCCCACCGUCCCCGGGCUCUAGUGACACGCGCGGAGGAGUGCGCCGCCGCCUGCUGUUGUGCGAGCCCCCGGUCGACGACUAGCCUCCCUGGGACUUCAGAGCCCCUCUGUCGUCGGAUUCGUGCGGGCUUUGCCCGGCGGAGGCCAUGGGGUAGCAGCGAGGGGAGUUGAAGCAAGUGAUGGGGGUCUAGCGCGGGUGGGGAUGUGCUGUCACCCGUGUCGCCCUAGGGAGGACGACGCAUGGGGCCGUCAUCGAGUCCGAGAAAAGUCCAAGGUCCAUUCCAAGUGGGUUGCGAAUUUAUGAUGCAAAUGAUGAGUCAGAGGACAUAGAAAUGGAUUGCCCGGAUGACUUUGGUUUGGUGGUAGUUCAAGGUUGUAAUAUGGACUUCUCUCAAGAUAGUUUUACUUUUCAGGUAUAAUAUUUCAUAGUUGGGUCUUCAUGUUUAACAUCUGAAUCAUAUCUGGUAAUAAUUCAUUUGUCUCGUUAUUUGCAGGUUUAGGUGAACCCCAGACUCACAUUAGCCCUAGUGCUCAAAGAAGUGAAAGGCUGAGGCUAGCUACAACAAAAUGGAUUGCUGAUGCAAUUUUGGACUGGUCAAAAAAUGAUUCUUCUCUUGGAGGUACAGCUUUGCAGAAGAAACUCGAAGAGAAGUACCAUAUCAAAGUUCCAGAUCACAGAGUGUUCUAUUGCAAGGAGAUGGAACUGGAUGGGAUAUAUGGGGAGUGGAAAGAUAGUUUCCACUUGCUAUACACACUUGAGAGUGAGAUCAGUGCUUGAUAUGGUUCAUUUCAGUGCUCUUUCUCUUGGUAUGGUUCACCACAUGCCUAUGAUUGUUCUCUCCCAAUAUAGGUUUUGUAUCGGUAUAGCUGAAGUCUGUCACUUAACUGAAGUUGCAGAGUGGUAGGUGGGCGUGUAGUCUAUGCAUUUCAUAUCAGUGGCAUUAGUUCCUUUUCAUUCUAUAGAUAGAUAGAUGGGCGGAACACUUCUUUUAGAUUCUAUUCUAGAACAAACUCUUCUGUUAGCUUUGCACUCUAGUCUUUUUGAGCAAGGAAUCAGGCUCACGAAUCAAAAGGAGGUUGCUCAGAAGAGAUAGAUGCAUCCAACCUCUAUUGUUUUUGCGUGGAAACUUUUUUGUUACGACAGUGACUAUGAAUUCCCAAUCUUCUCCAACAGAACUCCCUCACUGAGUAAGCAGUCAGCAUUCCUAGUAUGAUCCACUCAUUCUACACCAAGAGAUUGUUUGUCUCAAUGAAACCAUGUUGGAACAAUCUCUUAAGAGGGUUUAGACCACAUAUUUCUGUAGAAUCAACUGCUCAAACAGGUAAAUUUGGAAGACAAUUUCAUGGCUGCUUGUGGUAUUGAUGGCCAAAAUUGGUUGUACCCAGUAGCCUAUGGUGUUAUGGAUGCAGAAUUCACUGAGACCUGGACUUCGUUCAUAGAGAUACUACAACAAGUCACUGGUCGUCUAGCUGAUCUAGUCAUUCACACAUAUGGAUGCAAGAGGCUGAAGAGUGCAUCCAAUAGCGUCUUUGUCGGAGUGCAGCACAAAGAGUGCAUGAGGCACCUCUCUACUUAUGUUUUGAAGAAGUCCAAAGGGCCUUUGUUUGAUGAUAACUUAUGAGACAAAUUAGUGGUCAUACUUAACUUCCUAUGAUACAUGCUUGAUUUUGCAGUGCACAUACUUAACUCCCUAUAAAGCAUAUUGGCUACAUUGAGAAAAUAUGUGCAAAACCUAAAGUGAAGAAAUACUUAGAUGAACACCACUCAAAAUUAUGGCAGAAGGUCAAUACAUUCUAGGAGAGUUCUUCAACAGUAAGGUCAGGGAAUUAGAAGGCCUGCCCAUUCUUGAUUCUUUGGAUGCCACUAGGCAGCAAUUAAUGGAGAAAAUUGACCGCAUGCAAGGAUUGCAACCAAGAAAUUUGAAGAUCAUACAAUUCUCCCAUCGGUUUAGAAGGACCUUAAUCAAAAGAAGUACAAGUCUAAAGCUAAAGAUUGGUCAGAAGCAAAAGUUUGGAGGCAGAAGCAUAUGCAAUAUAUACUAUUGCCAUGUAAAAAUGUUGGUUCCAGAUGUGUAACUGCGAGCAUGUAGUUGUAAUGUUCUUUUAAACUUAUAAUGACAAUUAUGCAGUUCUGAUGCUUUUGGAACACUUGCAAUGUCAAUUAUGCAGUUCUGAUGCUUUUGGAACACUUGCAAUGUCAAUUAUGCAGUCCUCAUAUGAUGCUUUGGAAAAAAUUGUAAUGACAGUUACAGAGUCCUGAUGCUUUUGAAAGUAGAGACUUGUGAGACCUGAUGCUUGAAAUGGCAAGUGCUCAUACCUGCAUCUUUGACGUGAGGUGUGUGCACUGAGAUGGUUUUUGUGUGCUACGUCUGCCUAAGGGUAUUUUUCAUCUUUACACAAUGCCCAACUACAUGAUGAUGUCAAAGAGAGGUCGGGGUAGACCGAACUUGACAUGGGAGGAGUCCGUAAAGAGAGAUCUGAAGGACUGGAGUAUCACCAAAGAACUAGCCAUGGACACGGAUGCGUGGAAGCUUGCUAUCCAUGUGCCACAACCAUGAGUUGGUUGUGAGAUCUUAUGGGUUUCAGCUCUAGCCUACCCCAACUUGUUUGGGACUAUAUAAACAUAAAAAGAAAAAGGUUUUGUUGUUGUUGUUGACACAACGCCCAACUACAUCAAAUUAGGGCUGACCGAACAGUGACGACAUGUGGUGCCAAAAGUAGGGCACAUGGCGGGAGUAACUGAUGGCAAAUGUAUAUUCCAAGAAAAUGGCAUAAUGCAUGUCUUGAGCGGAGAUUAGUGGCACAAAUGUGAAUUUCCCACUACAAAACGAAGGAACUUGGUUGGCGAAAGAUGCAUACCUCCUCUCACAAUGACUUCUGCGUCAUCAAAUACUUUUACAGUUAAUGUUUUACUUCUCCAAAGACUUAUGCGAAUAUGAAAUACCCGAACCUAUACAGUAAAAAAUUGCAUAUUCUUAGUGCUAACAUACGCCACAAACAGAAGAGAUCAAACAAAAAAACAUAAUUGAGACAUACAGGUAAACUCACCUCAAUAUCCACCUCAGAAUUA